Long non-coding RNA from Branchiostoma floridae (Florida lancelet), 552 nucleotides. RefSeq lists it as uncharacterized. The record is from RefSeq and is a predicted model, not a curated record. Lineage: Eukaryota; Metazoa; Chordata; Leptocardii; Amphioxiformes; Branchiostomatidae. The transcript is spliced from 3 exons.
UUCCAGCUCAGCAGCACCACCUGGCUCAGCAGAAACAAACUGCAGAACAAGACGGACAGAAGACGAACAGGCAUUUAUACCAGAACACUGCAGGAGGGAUGACAUCAAACCCUGCUGCCCGGCUGUUGAAGAAGAGCUUUUUCUGAUGACCGAUAGCAGAACAUCUGCCCAACAGUUUUACUCAGUUUCUAUGCUGCUUGAAGGAAGAAAGAAAGGAAGGAAGGUAGUAUCAUGAUGUCAGAGAGAACACAAAUAGGAUCUGUAUGUAGAUAUCCUUUUUUGAUGAUGAUACUGAAUUACUAAGGGUGGGGGGUAUUUGGGGAACUUGAGCCAAACUCUACUUUGGUUCGGCUCUCUAAAUGAGUUAAAUGUAGGGAACAUUUUGGAAAGAGUGUGCCUUGUGACAAAGAUCUUACAGAAGGUCUUUGCACAAAAUAACUGGGUUCCAGGGAUAAAAUUGCUAAAACAUUCAUCUUACAGUUCAUAAGGAGAAUAUCAAGAAGAGGAUGGACAAGAAGAACAACACUGAAGUUCAAAAGUAAAUCAUGUUAC